RNAcentral lists this non-coding RNA (194 nucleotides) under Paenalicyclobacillus ferrooxydans. Its description in RNAcentral is "Alicyclobacillus ferrooxydans 6S / SsrS RNA". It matches the Rfam family "6S / SsrS RNA". From Rfam's summary of the family: E. coli 6S RNA was the first non coding RNA to be sequenced, but its function was unknown until recently. It consists of 184 nucleotides that fold into an extended hairpin structure with a large single-stranded internal bulge. Lineage: Bacteria; Bacillati; Bacillota; Bacilli; Caryophanales; Alicyclobacillaceae. The record is from Rfam by way of RNAcentral.
UACUCCCUGCGCUGUUGGUGUAAGCCUUAGGUGUUUUGAGCCAACACCUUUUUUACGGGAGUCCGGACGUCGCAGAUGCACGCACAUGCCACGCCAACACUUGUUGGAAGUGGACUUGCAAGCAGUCUGCGCAGGACACCCACCUGCGAGAGCAGGUUCAAAACGGAAGGUUUCACGGCAGGUGCGGGGUAGCC